Molecule: ribosomal RNA, 372 nt
Filed under: uncultured bacterium
Lineage: Bacteria
Description: bacterial SSU rRNA
Rfam family: Bacterial small subunit ribosomal RNA
Source: RNAcentral
UACGAAGGGUGCUAGCGUUGUUCGGAAUUACUGGGCGUAAAGGGUGCGUAGGUUGUUUGGCAAGUUAGUGGUGAAAGCCCAGAGCUUAACUCUGGAAUUGCCAUUAAAACUGCCAGGCUAGAGAGUGUUAGAGGUGAGUGGAAUUUCUAGUGUAGGAGUGAAAUCCGUAGAUAUUAGAAGGAACAUCAAUGGCGAAGGCAGCUCACUGGGUCACAUCUGACACUGAGGCACGAAAGCGUGGGUAGCAAACAGGAUUAGAUACCCUGGUAGUCCACGCCCUAAACGAUGGAUGCUAGAUGUCGGGACAUUAGUUUCGGCGUCGUAGUUAACGCGUUAAGCAUCCCGCCUGGGGAGUACGGUCGCAAGAUUAAA